Molecule: ribosomal RNA, 481 nt
Filed under: uncultured soil bacterium
Lineage: Bacteria
Description: bacterial SSU rRNA
Rfam family: Bacterial small subunit ribosomal RNA
Source: RNAcentral
AGAUUGAACGCUGGCGGCAUGCCUUACGCAUGCAAGUCGAACGGCAGCACGGGAGCAAUCCUGGUGGCGAGUGGCGAACGGGUGAGUAAUACAUCGGAACGUGCCCAAUCGUGGGGGAUAACGCAGCGAAAGCUGUGCUAAUACCGCAUAAGAUCUACGGAUGAAAGCAGGGGAUCGCAAGACCUUGCGCGAAUGGAGCGGCCGAUGGCAGAUUAGGUAGUUGGUGAGGUAAAGGCUCACCAAGCCUUCGAUCUGUAGCUGGUCUGAGAGGACGACCAGCCACACUGGGACUGAGACACGGCCCAGACUCCUACGGGAGGCAGCAGUGGGGAAUUUUGGACAAUGGGCGAAAGCCUGAUCCAGCCAUGCCGCGUGCAGGAUGAAGGCCUUCGGUUGUAAACUGCUUUUGUACGGAACGAAAGUCUACUUUCUAAUUAAAGAGGAUCAUGACGUACGUAAGAAUAAGCACCGACUAACUACG